This is a non-coding RNA of Gymnothorax javanicus (giant moray), 75 nucleotides long. The record is from the annotation of a GenBank genome assembly. NCBI's taxonomy places the organism in Eukaryota, Metazoa, Chordata, Actinopteri, Anguilliformes, Muraenidae.
UCCUCGUUAGUAUAGUGGCUAGUAUCCCCCCGCCUGUCACGCGGAGACCGGGGUUCAAAUUUCCCCGACGGGGAG